UACGUAGGGGGCCAGCGUUGUUCGGAAUUACUGGGUGUAAAGGGUUCGUAGGCGGUGCGGCAAGUUGGGAGUGAAAUCUCUGGGCUUAACCCAGAGGCUGCUUCCGAAACUGCUGUGCUUGAGUGUGGGAGAGGCGCGUGGAAUUGCAGGUGUAGCGGUGAAAUGCGUAGAUAUCAGGAAGAACACCCGUGGCUAAGGCGGCUCUCUAGUACGGUACUGACGCUGAGACGCGAAAGCGUGGGGAGCGAACAGG
Molecule: ribosomal RNA, 253 nt
Filed under: uncultured bacterium
Lineage: Bacteria
Description: partial 16S ribosomal RNA
Rfam family: Bacterial small subunit ribosomal RNA
Source: RNAcentral